CACAGGGCUCUGGAUCUGCUCCUGCUGAGCUCUCCCUGCCCUUUCCCACCAGGAGCACCAACACCCUGACCUCACAGAGGUGGCACGUGGCCCAUGGGGUGUCCCCAGCCCAGCCAUGGUGGCACUGCCACCCCCAACACUCCACACUGUCACUGUGGGUGCCAGGGAGACACUUUGCCUCUCUCCCACUCCCAUUCUCUGCCAUCUGCAGAUGGUUAUGGCAAAGCUUGAGGUCCACCAGCUCCUGAACAACCUCCUCCAGCCAUCCUGGAACCACUGAUGUCAUUAACUGGUGCUCAGCAGCCAAAAAUGAUAUUGUGUUCAUCUGCAUUUGGCUUGUAGUGCCCUGUACUGGUCUGUAUUUGCACUUCCAUGUAUGGUUCUGGAUGUAAAUUGACUUUUACUGCUGUGUAUAUGGAUUGUAUCUGGAGCUGCAUUUGUAUCCAUUGCUUCCGUGUGUUUUGCUGCAGUGUCAAAAAAACAAUUCAUUCUACAAAGUUGAAUAAGCCCUAAUAAAGAUGCCUUCCCAUUC
Passer domesticus (house sparrow) is the source of this 532-nucleotide long non-coding RNA. RefSeq lists it as uncharacterized. NCBI's taxonomy places the organism in Eukaryota, Metazoa, Chordata, Aves, Passeriformes, Passeridae. The transcript has 2 exons. The record is from RefSeq and is a predicted model, not a curated record.